GGAAGGAUGCCGGAGUGGUCGAUCGGGGCGGUCUCGAAAACCGUUGUGCCUUCGGGUACCCAGGGUUCGAAUCCCUGUCUUUCCGCCA
Molecule: transfer RNA, 88 nt
Filed under: Bacteroidales bacterium
Lineage: Bacteria; Pseudomonadati; Bacteroidota; Bacteroidia; Bacteroidales
Description: tRNA-Ser
Rfam family: tRNA
About the family: Transfer RNA (tRNA) molecules are approximately 80 nucleotides in length. Their secondary structure includes four short double-helical elements and three loops (D, anti-codon, and T loops).
Source: RNAcentral